CCUACGGGUGGCAGCAGUGGGGAAUAUUGCGCAAUGGGCGCAAGCCUGACCCAGCAACACCGCGUGAAGGAAGAAGGCUUUCGGGUUGUAAACUUCUUUUCUCAGGGACGAAGCAAGUGACGGUACCUGAGGAAUAAGCCACUCCUAACUACGUGCCAGCAGCCGCGGUAAUACGUAGGUGGCAAGCGUUAUCCGGAUUUACUGGGUGUAAGGGGCGUGUAGGCGGGAAAGCAAGUCAGAGGUGAAAACCAUGGGCUCAACCUGUGGCCUGCAUUUGAAACUGUUUUGCUGGAGUACUGGAGAGGCAGACGGAAUUCCUAGUGUAGCGGUGAAAUGCGUAGAUAUUAGGAGGAACACCAGUGGCGAAGGCGGUCUGCUGGACAGCAACUGACGCUGAGGCGCGAAAGCGUGGGGAGCAAACAGGAUUAGAUACCCCAGUAGUC
RNAcentral lists this ribosomal RNA (443 nucleotides) under uncultured bacterium. Its description in RNAcentral is "partial 16S ribosomal RNA". It matches the Rfam family "Bacterial small subunit ribosomal RNA", at positions 338 to 795 of the family's 1533-position model. The record is from RNAcentral.